RNAcentral lists this ribosomal RNA (492 nucleotides) under uncultured bacterium. RNAcentral describes it as "partial 16S ribosomal RNA". It matches the Rfam family "Bacterial small subunit ribosomal RNA", at positions 29 to 507 of the family's 1533-position model. The record is from RNAcentral.
AGUGAACGCUGGCGGUAGGCCUAACACAUGCAAGUCGAACGGCAGCACAGUAAGAGCUUGCUCUUACGGGUGGCGAGUGGCGGACGGGUGAGGAAUACAUCGGAAUCUACUUUUUCGUGGGGGAUAACGUAGGGAAACUUACGCUAAUACCGCAUACGACCUACGGGUGAAAGCAGGGGAUCUUCGGACCUUGCGCGAUUGAAUGAGCCGAUGUCGGAUUAGCUAGUUGGAGGGGCAAAGGCCCACCAAGGCGACGAUCCGUAGCUGGUCUGAGAGGAUGAUCAGCCACACUGGAACUGAGACACGGUCCAGACUCCUACGGGAGGCAGCAGUGGGGAAUAUUGGACAAUGGGCGCAAGCCUGAUCCAGCCAUACCGCGUGGGUGAAGAAGGCCUUCGGGUUGUAAAGCCCUUUUGUUGGGAAAGAAAAGCAGCAGGUUAAUACCCCGCUGUUCUGACGGUACCCAAAGAAUAAGCACCGGCUAACUUCGUG